GCUAUAUCAUGUUGAAAAUCCCGUUCCUGUACGAUCACCGAAAUUAAGCAACGUCGAGCCUGGUCACUAUCUAGAUGGGUAACUACUUGGGAAUACCUGGUGUUGUAAG
Molecule: non-coding RNA, 109 nt
Organism: Acanthosepion pharaonis
Lineage: Eukaryota; Metazoa; Mollusca; Cephalopoda; Sepiida; Sepiidae
Source: the annotation of a GenBank genome assembly